GAAAAAGUCUGUUCAUUUUAGAACAAAUACCAAAAUCCCUCAUAUUGCAUCUUUCCCUCUUCUCUUUGUUCACUCUAAACGUGCCAGUACCUUGGCAUCACUUGCUUGGCUUCUCACGUAGUCUGUGUGGGCUUCACAAACUGAAAUGGGACAGAGAUGUGUGUUAAGAAAAAGUAAGAAAACAUGAUUUUGAAAUCCUGUAGGAAAACUUAUGGUUCACAUGUAGUUUCUGAAAAUAACAUUUUUUUUCUCCUUUUAUGCUGCCAUGUGAUACACUGGUACUGGUGUCCCCUGAAGGCUCCAGGCCGUUGGCCAUAAGUGAUCGGAUUAGCUCAGCUAAAUGAGUGUCUGGGGGGCAGCAAGGCCAAAGUAACCCACAGCUGGAUUUACCAAGCACCACGUACAGAGAGAAGAUAUUUCUCAUGCUGAGCUACAGGAAGUUGAUGCUGAAAUGCAAUAACAGCAGAUGUUACUGGGAUGCAGUCAUAAAAUGGAGGCAAACGGGCUCUUUGUGACCAGCUCAGGCCACAGCACCGGCGUAUUUCCAGAUGGUGCAGAUGCUAUUUAUAAAGCAUUGCGCAGGGGAUCUGUUACGGGGUGCUUUACAGCCACACUUUGCAGAAGGACACGUCUGCUGUCUCAUCCAUUGAGAAAGACUCUUCCAGAGCAAAAGAGCCACAGGUCAGUGCUGCUGCUCUCAGGGGCAUGCGGUAAGAUAUCCUGUGACUGUAGCGAGGACAAAGGGAGUUGUAAAGAGCAGUUAGGAGAAAAAGCCUCCCUGAUCUGCCCAGUGUCCUGCUUCUCUCUUCGGGAUGGAAUGACAAGUUUCUGUCUGGAUUUUCUCUAG
This 847-nucleotide long non-coding RNA is filed under the name Anser brachyrhynchus (Pink-footed goose). Its description in RNAcentral is "lncRNA (ENSABRG00000016519.1)". Lineage: Eukaryota; Metazoa; Chordata; Aves; Anseriformes; Anatidae. The record is from RNAcentral.